RNAcentral lists this long non-coding RNA (679 nucleotides) under Callithrix jacchus (white-tufted-ear marmoset). RNAcentral describes it as "lncRNA (ENSCJAG00000057203.2)". Lineage: Eukaryota; Metazoa; Chordata; Mammalia; Primates; Cebidae. The record is from RNAcentral.
CUUAAAAUGUGGAGAGUGGCUGGGUACGGUGGCUCACACCUGUAAUCCCAGCACUUUAGGAGGCUGAGGCAGGUGGAUCACGAGAGUUACAAAUGCACUUAAAAAAGGAAAUAUAUCUCUUUCACAAAUGGGUAUGAUUGUCAAUUGCUAUAAAGGAAGAAGGUAACUAUAAGAAAAAGCACAAAACAGUGUUACUAAAUUCCUGCCCAAUAAGCUUAAGGGUUGCUCUUCCUUGAUUAGAAAUGGGGAUCCCUAAGGGUCAAGGAGGGUUUGUGGCAGACCAACUGCUAGAACCCUCUCCUUGACUUGUUCAGAAGGAUUGCAAGAGUUUGGCAAAUGGAGCAUUUUCCAACGAGUCUGAGUGUCUGGAUCAUGGGCCUGUGAAUCCCUAAGUCCUUUGAAGGUGUGGAUGCCCCAUAUCUGCUGACUCAGAGCUGGCCAGCUCUCACCUCCUCAGGUGCUGCCUUUUCUCCUGUGCAGCAAAGAAGAUGAGGCCCAGAAACCUCCAAGCUGCCCCCAAGGCACAAGAGCAGACCUUCAGCUGUUCUCCCAGGGGAGUAGGCUGGAGUGCUGUGGCUUGAUUUUGAUCUCAGCUCAUUGCAACCUCCACCUCCUGGGCUCAAGUGAUCCUCCCACCUCCAUCACCCGAAUACUGGAACAACUGGUGAGUGCCACCACA